AGUAAGAUCCCUGAAAGAUGAUCAGGUAGAUAGGUCAGAGGUGGAAGUGUGGCGACACAUGGAGCUGACUGAUACUAAUCGAUCGAGGACUUAACCAA
RNAcentral lists this ribosomal RNA (98 nucleotides) under Bacillus sp. Leaf406. RNAcentral describes it as "partial 23S ribosomal RNA". It matches the Rfam family "Bacterial large subunit ribosomal RNA", at positions 2827 to 2925 of the family's 2925-position model. Lineage: Bacteria; Bacillati; Bacillota; Bacilli; Caryophanales; Bacillaceae. The record is from RNAcentral.